AUUUCAUUGCCGUAACCAUAAUAAGUCUUUGAAGAAAGUCUAAUAAUAAUGCGGUUAGUGUCCGUUCCUUCUGGAGGAGAUGACAGGGAAGACACUUGCAAGAACUAGACUGGCCAGCUGACUGCUCCUGUGAAGGCAGGUUAGCUACGCAGACUGCACAAAGUGCCAGGCUCAUGCACAGGGCAGAGGUGGCUCAAGAAAAAAUUACCCUUCUGUCUCAAGAGUAAUGCAGGCCGGGAAGGGCAACAUGUGACAAGGACAAUCAAAGACAUCUCUUCUAUGGGAGAAGUGGAGAAAACUUGACACCAUUCUGGGGGGACCCAGAAUCUGCUCUAGAGAUGAUUUCCUUUCCUCGGGAGAAUUUAGAGACAGUGGACUGGCCAGAGGCACUCAUAAAAGAAGACACAUUUCUGCAGACUGCUCUGAAGAGUGGCUCUGAAGAGUACUGAAGCAAAUAAC
RNAcentral lists this long non-coding RNA (459 nucleotides) under Apteryx owenii (little spotted kiwi). RNAcentral's name for it is "lncRNA (ENSAOWG00000004647.1)". Lineage: Eukaryota; Metazoa; Chordata; Aves; Apterygiformes; Apterygidae. The record is from RNAcentral.